GCCGCUCUCGCUCUCUCUUUCUGUGCCUUUCGGGACGAGCGACCAUGCAAGAGGCGGCAAACGUGCCGCAAGUUUAGCGUCCGCGUUAGUGCGUGCGUGAGGGAUGCCUCCCCGGGCAACACUGUGAGGAGUCUAGAGCCGCAUCCCCCUCGAGGUGCCGGUGCCGCCGCACGAUGGACUGUCCUCGCGAUUAGCGCGAGCGAGGGGCGAGGCUCUUGCUUAUCUGUCUGACGCUUGCAUGGAAGAGCGGUCGCGCUUUCCGUCUGGGGGGCCCGUAUCCUCUCGCUACCUCGGUUGUGGGCGCGGCUAACUGGCUAAUGACUAUGGCACAUCCGCAGGGCGACUCCACGGUAAUAGAGCACAGGGUGUUGGGUUUUGUGUCUGGGUACCCGCUGGAGUACCGGGAGCAGCCUCGUCGUAUAACUUUUCAUCUUGGUUCCUGGUAGCACUACUCGUUAGUUCUUUUGUCGCGCACCCAUGGUUUGCGGAAAGAGGGGCACCUCCACGGUCCCUCGUCCGGCGAGGCUCUGAGCGCAGAGCCUUCUUACGGAGUACUCCUGCUUCCGCCUCCCCUUGCCGUGAUGGAUACGCCUGAUUCCGUGUUGUUGACGGCGCUCGUUUGCGCUUUCCGGAUUUCCGUGAUGGGCAGCCGUAAUGUGUACGAGGGGUGACUGUUGGUCGCGCCGUGGGGCUGCUUUUCCUGCUGCGACGACAACUUUGCUGCCGAUAUUCCAUCUGGAGCUGUUGCAUCGCCUUGCGCUUCUGUUUGCACUGGCGCAAAGAAGUGACUGCUGCAGCCAGCAGCGCACGCUUCUUUUCGUUGUCUGUGCUUUUAGUGGGUACUGUGUCCGUGACUGCGAGGGCAUGAUGGGAUGCGCAACAGCGAACCACAGGGAAAGCCGCCACCGUUUGCGCCCCUCGGCACGCAUGACAGAACUUCUCCUCUCGCUUGCACUUACACACGGCUGACUGCCACGUCUUGUG
RNAcentral lists this unclassified non-coding RNA (984 nucleotides) under Leishmania donovani. RNAcentral describes it as "gene:unknown". Lineage: Eukaryota; Euglenozoa; Kinetoplastea; Trypanosomatida; Trypanosomatidae. The record is from RNAcentral.